CUACGGGGUGCACCAGUGAGGAAUAUUGCACAAUGGGGGGAACCCUGAUGCGGCAACGCCGCGUGGAGGAUGACGCAUUUCGGUGUGUAAACUCCUUUUAUAUGUCAAGAAAAUGACGGUAGCAUAUGAAUAAGCACCGGCUGACUCCGUACCAGCAGCCGCGGUAAUACGGAGGGUGCAAGCGUUACUCGGAAUCACUGGGCGUAAAGGACGCGUAGGCGGGUUGGAAAGUCAGGUGUGAAAUCCUACAGCUUAACUGUAGAACUGCACUUGAAACUUCUAAUCUAGAGUAUGGGAGGGGGAGAUGGAAUUAGUGGUGUAGGGGUAAAAUCCGUAGAUAUCACUAGGAAUACCUAAAGCGAAGGCGAUCUCCUGGAACAUUACUGACGCUAAGGCGUGAAAGCGUGGGGAGCAAACAGGAUUAGAUACCCCCGUAGUC
RNAcentral lists this ribosomal RNA (439 nucleotides) under uncultured bacterium. RNAcentral describes it as "partial 16S ribosomal RNA". It matches the Rfam family "Bacterial small subunit ribosomal RNA", at positions 339 to 795 of the family's 1533-position model. The record is from RNAcentral.